AUUGAACGCUGGCGGCAUGCUUUACACAUGCAAGUCGAACGGUAACAGGCCGCAAGGUGCUGACGAGUGGCGAACGGGUGAGUAAUGCAUCGGAACGUGCCCAGUCGUGGGGGAUAACGCAGCGAAAGCUGCGCUAAUACCGCAUACGAUCUAUGGAUGAAAGCGGGGGACCGUAAGGCCUCGCGCGAUUGGAGCGGCCGAUGUCAGAUUAGGUAGUUGGUGGGGUAAAGGCUCACCAAGCCAACGAUCUGUAGCGGGUCUGAGAGGACGACCAGCCACACUGGGACGGAGACACGGCCCAGACUCCUACGGGAGGCAGCAGUGGGGAAUUUUGGACAAUGGGCGCAAGCCUGACCCAGCAAUGCCGCGUGCAGGAAGAAGGCCUUCGGGUUGUAAACUGCUUUUGUACGGAACGAAACGGCUCUGGUUAAUACCUGGGGCUAAUGACGGUACCGUAAGAAUAAGCACCGGCUAACUACGUGCCAGCCGCCGCGGUAA
RNAcentral lists this ribosomal RNA (498 nucleotides) under uncultured bacterium. RNAcentral's name for it is "partial 16S ribosomal RNA". It matches the Rfam family "Bacterial small subunit ribosomal RNA", at positions 29 to 523 of the family's 1533-position model. The record is from RNAcentral.